AGUAAUGUCUGGGAAACUGCCUGAUGGAGGGGGAUAACUACUGGAAACGGUAGCUAAUACCGCAUAAUGUCGCAAGACCAAAGUGGGGGGCCUUCGGGCCUCAUGCCAUCAGAUGUGCCCAGAUGGGAUUAGCUAGUAGGUGGGGUAACGGCUCACCUAGGCGACGAUCCCUAGCUGGUCUGAGAGGAUGACCAGCCACACUGGAACUGAGACACGGUCCAG
Molecule: ribosomal RNA, 222 nt
Filed under: uncultured bacterium
Lineage: Bacteria
Description: partial 16S ribosomal RNA
Rfam family: Bacterial small subunit ribosomal RNA
Source: RNAcentral